UUACAGAUACAAGAGGAGAUGUUGAUUUUUAAGUCUGUUCAGCUUUUUGCUUGCUGUUGGGACAGAGUGGUGGCUUCUAAGCUACUUGUGCGAGGUUAUAAGAUUUAACACAUUUCAAGAAACUCAGAAGAUGAAGAAAAUGUGCUGCUCAGAUGGCUCUUGGAAUCUUGGGAGAAAUGAGAACCCAUGUUAAAUGAAGUGGAAAUGUCUGGACUCCUAUGGCAGACCGCAGAGGCAGGGAUCAAAAGGCUGGGAGAUCAGGG
This 263-nucleotide long non-coding RNA is filed under the name Mustela putorius furo (domestic ferret). RNAcentral's name for it is "lncRNA (ENSMPUG00000030669.1)". Lineage: Eukaryota; Metazoa; Chordata; Mammalia; Carnivora; Mustelidae. The record is from RNAcentral.